CGGGCAGCGUUCUGCCCAGGAAGCCUCUCUCUCUGCCACGUUCUGGAUGACGCCCAGUGACAGACACACCGGGGGCCAUCCGUUCAGAGCAUAUAGAUUUUUCAGAAACAAAGCAUGCCCGCCAGUGUGGGCCCCCAGCCUCUCUUCAAGCACACAGUGGGCCUGCAGCCUAGGGGAGAGGCCCCAUAGCGACGCUGCCACCCCCACCUGUAAACAGCAGGUAUAUUGCUGGUUUGUUUUUCUUUUUGUCAAUUGUGGCAGGAGCCGCAAGCUGUCGGUAUCCUUUUCUGAAAGUAUUAUUAUUUUCCCCAGCUCAACCUUAUACCCCCAGGACUGGCUCCAGCGAGUGCAAGCAGAGUCUGGGGUGGUUCCCGUCAUCCCUGGGGAACACUCUGUUCCAGGGGACGUGCCCUGGGCUGGGCUCUGCAGCCAGGCCUCCUCUGACUGCCAUUUAGGACGCUUCCAGCCCUGCACUUUGCAGACAAUGCUGCAAGGGCAGUGCCAGGGCUCAGUGCCCCCAGCCUGGCAUUUUCUCAGCGGCGGCGGACAAUGAGGCAGGGAUCUGGGGGUCAGCGGGGUGGGCAGCUCCUGCUUUUUCAGAUAUGGACAAAUGUCUCCCGGAUUCCUCUGUAGCAGUUUCAACGAGCACAGCAGGGAGAGCGCGCCCGGUCUCCGCACACCCUGGGCCUUGUUUGGGGUCACACCGUGGCAUCUGUCACACGGUAAGGUGUCCCCGUCAAGAACGAACGUGGGCCUCUGUCCUCUGUGAGGAGACUCCACCGGCCUCCUUGGCCCAUCUCUCCGGCGGCUGGCUUCACCUGCUGACCUUGGGCGCUGUUCCUGGUUCUGUAGGGCAGUCUUUGCCAUUUACGGUCACUGCAAACCUUUCUCCCCAGUAUUAACAACAACGACAACAAAAAAAGGCUUUCCUUACCCGCGGCUCUCCCACCCAGCUGCGUCAGUGUGCGCCUGACCACGCGCGGCGGAAUCGCGGUCUGGACGAGCCCUUUUGAUGAAGUCAGCAGGCGGCUAUGAAACGGGACCCGGGACAAACGCCCUCUAUAGCCUCUCUCGUCUAAUAAAAGUAAUGGGCGAAACACAGUUCCUUUCCUCCGCUGGUUUUCUUGCCAGCGAGGAUCCUACCCGCUCUGGCCGGAUCCGAGCGACGCUCCGGGUCUCUGCAGCCUCUGGGCGCGCUCACACCCGCGUGCACGUGCCGAGCUGCGCUCCGGAGUGGAAAACCGGGAAAGCAAAGCGAGUAAUGGAGAGGCUGAGGACGGUCUGGGCGUCGGGGGGCGGGGG
Long non-coding RNA from Bos taurus (domestic cattle), 1302 nucleotides. The record is from Ensembl. NCBI's taxonomy places the organism in Eukaryota, Metazoa, Chordata, Mammalia, Artiodactyla, Bovidae.